Molecule: ribosomal RNA, 406 nt
Filed under: uncultured bacterium
Lineage: Bacteria
Description: partial 16S ribosomal RNA
Rfam family: Bacterial small subunit ribosomal RNA
Source: RNAcentral
AUUGAACGCUGGCGGCAGGCCUAACACAUGCAAGUCGAACGAGUGGCGGACGGGUGAGUAAUGUCUGGGAAACUGCCCGAUGGAGGGGGAUAACUACUGGAAACGGUAGCUAAUACCGCAUACCAUCGGAUGUGCCCAGAUGGGAUUAGCUUGUAGGUGAGGUAACGGCUCACCUAGGCGACGAUCCCUAGCUGGUCUGAGAGGAUGACCAGCAACACGGGAACUGAGACACGGUCCAGACUCCUACGGGAGGCAGUAGUGGGGAAUAGUGCACAAUGGGGGCAAGCCUGAUGCAGCCAUGCCGCGGGUAUGAAGAAGGCCUUGGUGGUGUAAAGGACUUGCAGCGGGGAGGCGUUACCCUCAGAAGAAGCACAGGCUAACUCCGUGCCAGCAGCCGCGGUAAUAC